This is a long non-coding RNA of Pan troglodytes (chimpanzee), 447 nucleotides long. RefSeq lists it as uncharacterized. The record is from RefSeq and is a predicted model, not a curated record. The transcript is spliced from 2 exons. NCBI's taxonomy places the organism in Eukaryota, Metazoa, Chordata, Mammalia, Primates, Hominidae.
UCGUAGUCACUGUCGGUGGGGAGGAAGACUUCUGAGCAGGCUUCUUCAUCAGAGCAGGGCUGUGAAUCUGCGAAGCCAGAAACUGAGUUUGCCUGUAACUAGAUGUGUUGGAUGAGGUCAUGGAGCAACCUUGGAGACAGAAGCCACAUGCUAGGAUGGUGGGGCUGAAAAACAGAGCUUGUUGCCUGAAGACCAUUACGUCUGCAUAUCAACCUUGAAUUGUCUCCUUUUGAGCUUCUUUCACACAAGAGAGAAAGUAUCUUGUGUUUAUGACAUUCUUAUUUGGGUCUUUGGUAACACGAACCCAAAAUUUAUCCUAACCAAUAGGAGUAUGGUUAAAUAAAUUGUGGCGCAUCUGUAUAUGGAAUAUUAUCCAGCAGCUACAAAGGAUGAGAUACAUUUAUAUGUUCUUUAAAUAAUGGCUACCAAUAAAAGGAUUCCCUCUUC